Molecule: ribosomal RNA, 465 nt
Filed under: uncultured bacterium
Lineage: Bacteria
Description: partial 16S ribosomal RNA
Rfam family: Bacterial small subunit ribosomal RNA
Source: RNAcentral
CCUACGGGCGGCAGCAGUAGUGAAUCUUCCACAAUGGGCGAAAGCCUGAUGGAGCAACGCCGCGUGGGUGAAGAAGGUCUUCGGAUCGUAAAACCCUGUUGUUAGAGAAGAAAGUGCGUGAGAGUAACUGUUCACGUUUCGACGGUAUCUAACCAGAAAGCCACGGCUAACUACGUGCCAGCAGCCGCGGUAAUACGUAGGUGGCAAGCGUUAUCCGGAUUUAUUGGGCGUAAAGGGAACGCAGGCGGUCUUUUAAGUCUGAUGGGAAAGCCUUCGGCUUAACCGGAGUAGUGCAUUGGAAACUGGGAGACUUGAGUGCAGAAGAGGAGAGUGGAACUCCAGGUGUAGCGGUGAAAUGCGUAGAUAUAUGGAAGAACACCAGUGGCGAAAGCGGCUCUCUGGUCUGUAACUGACGCUGAGGUUCGAAAGCGUGGGUAGCAAACAGGAUUAGAUACCCGAGUAGUC